Molecule: long non-coding RNA, 1099 nt
Filed under: Mytilus galloprovincialis (Mediterranean mussel)
Lineage: Eukaryota; Metazoa; Mollusca; Bivalvia; Mytilida; Mytilidae
Source: RNAcentral
GUUGCGAGUGUCUCGUUGUCGUUCAACGCACUAUGAUCUCCUACAGUUUCAAUAUAUAUUUUUCUUAAGACUUUGCUCAGAGGAAAGUAAUAGAAUAGGUUUGGAUAUACAUUUUAAAUCCCCAAAAUUUUAUUUUAAACUAUUAAUUUUGAAGACGUGUGUUAUCUAAACGAAGUCUAAAUGGUCACCAAAUCACCUGUUUAUUGUCUGUUUGGGUUUAUUAUUUUAAGCAUAAAGUUUAUAAAUCCAUCUCUGAACACACAUUAUACAUGUAUAGCAUUAAGUCAAAGUAAACAUUAAACUUAUGAAUGGCGGAAAAGAAAUAUCUGAAAACGAUAGAUGGAUGUUGGAUGUGUACGGAUUGAUAGUUUAGUCUUAGUUGCAUGAUUUUUUUAUUAGUUGUUAGUGACUUUGAACUAGCUGUCAGAUAACUGCGAAUACUCUCAGAUUUGUUCAUUGUGUCUUUUUGUGUCGGGAUGUAUAAGUACCGGGCCGCGUCCACUUGUAUUUUUGUCCAUCUGAUGAGUUAAGCCUUUUUCAUCUGAUUUUUAUAGUUCGUUCUUAUGUUGUACUGUUAUACCACUGUCCCAGGUUAGGUGGAGGGUGGGGAUCCCGCUAACAUGUUUAACCCCGCCACAUAAUUUAUGUAUGUGCCUGUCCCAAGUCAGGAGCCUGUAAUUCAGUGGUUGUCAUUUGUUUAUGUGUUACAUAUUUGUUUUUCGUUCAUUUUUUUACAUAAAUAAGGCCGUUAGUUUUCUCGUUUGAAUUGUUUUACAUUGUCUUAUCGGGGCCUUUUAUAGCUCACUAUGCGGUAUGGGCUUUGCUCAUUGUUGAAGGCCGUACGGUGACCUAUAGUUGUUAAUGUCUGUGUCAUUUUGGUCUUUUGUGGAUAGUUGUUUCAUUGGCAAUCAUACCACAUCUUCUUUUUUAUACUAUCAGUACACUAUUCUAUCAACAUGUGUUUGGUGUCCAUUUUACAAUAUAUAUUGUUUAAGAAUUUAGUGUUUUCUUAUUCAUUCUGACAUCUGUGUCCAUGGCUGUUAACAAGAAAUUGCGAAGACGUUAUGCUUAUCUGUUCACCUUUAAAAAUGAUUUUUCA